CCUUAACCUGGCCUUGACAUACUAAGAACUUCCAGAGAUGGAUUGGUGCCUUCGGGAACUUAGAUACAGGUGCUGCAUGGCUGUCGUCAGCUCGUGUCGUGAGAGUGUUCGGGUUAAGUCCCGCAACGAGCGCAACCCUUUUCCUUAUUUGCCAGCGGGUUAAGCCGGGAACUUUAAGGAUACUGCCAGUGACAAACUGGAGGAAGGCGGGGACGACGUCAAGUCAUCAUGGCCCUUACGGCCAGGGCUACACACGUGCUACAAUGGUCGGUACAAAGGGUUGCUACCUCGCGAGAGGAUGCUAAUCUCAAAAAAGCCGAUCGUAGUCCGGAUCGCAGUCUGCAACUCGACUGCGUGAAGUCGGAAUCGCUAGUAAUCGCGGAUCAGAAUGCCGCGGUGAAUACGUUCCCGGGCCUUGUACACACCGCCCGUCACACCAUGGGAGUUUGUUGCACCAGAAGUAGGUAGUCUAACCGCAAGGAGGACGCUUACCACGGUGUGGCCGAUGACUGGGGUGAAGUCGUAACAAGGUAAGCGUAGAUGA
This 544-nucleotide ribosomal RNA is filed under the name uncultured bacterium. Its description in RNAcentral is "bacterial SSU rRNA". It matches the Rfam family "Bacterial small subunit ribosomal RNA", at positions 968 to 1509 of the family's 1533-position model. The record is from RNAcentral.